This 465-nucleotide ribosomal RNA is filed under the name uncultured bacterium. RNAcentral describes it as "partial 16S ribosomal RNA". It matches the Rfam family "Bacterial small subunit ribosomal RNA", at positions 28 to 507 of the family's 1533-position model. The record is from RNAcentral.
GACGAACGCUGGCGGCGUGCUUAACACAUGCAAGUCGAACGGAGAGGCCCUUUUGGGGGUACUCGAGUGGCGAACGGGUGAGUAACACGUGAGUAACCUGCCCUCCACUCCGGGAUAACUUCAGGAAAAUGGGGCUAAUAUCGGAGAGGAAUCCUUGCUGCAUGGUGGGGGUUGGAAAGCUUCGGUGGUUUUGGAUGGACUCGCGGCUUAUCCGCUUGUUGGUGGGGUAGUGGCUUACCAAGGCUUUGACGGGUAGCCGGCCUGAGAGGGCGACCGGCCACUUUGGGUCUGAGAUACGGCCCAGUCUCCUGCGGGGGGCAGCAGUGGGGAAUAUUGCACAAUGGGCGGGAGCCUGAUGCAGCAACGCCGCGUGCGGGAGGACGGCCUUCGGGUUGUAAACCUCUUUCAGCAGGGGCGAAGCUUGUGGUGACGGUACCUGCAGAAGAAGCACCGGCUAACUACGUG